RNAcentral lists this ribosomal RNA (497 nucleotides) under uncultured bacterium. RNAcentral's name for it is "partial 16S ribosomal RNA". It matches the Rfam family "Bacterial small subunit ribosomal RNA", at positions 28 to 507 of the family's 1533-position model. The record is from RNAcentral.
GAUGAACGCUGGCGGCGUGCCUAAUACAUGCAAGUCGAGCGAACAGAUGAGGAGCUUGUUCCGCUGACGUUAGCGGCGCACGGGUGAGUAACACGUGGAUAACCUACCUAUAUGACUGGGAUAACUUCGGGAAACCGGAGCUAAUACCGGAUAAUAUAUUGAACCGCAUGGUUCAAUAGUGAAAGACGGUUUUGCUGUCACUUAUAGAUGGUUCCGCGCCGCAUUAGCUAGUUGGUAAGGUAACGGCUUACCAAGGCAACGAGGCGUAGCCGACCUGAGAGGGUGAUAGGCCACACUGGAACUGAGACACGGUCCAGACUCCUACGGGAGGCAGCAGUAGGCAAUCGUCCGCAAUAGGCGAGAGCAUGACGGAGCAACGCGGCGUGAGUGAUGAAGGUCUUCGGAUCGUGAAACUGUGUUAUUAGGGAAGAACAAAUGUGUAAGUAACUGUACACGUCUUGACGGUACCUAGUCAGAAAGCAACGGCUAACUACGUG